GAGAGUAUAGCUCAAGUGGUAGAGCACAUGCUUAGCAUGCAGGAGGUCCUGGGUUCAAUCCCCUGUACUCCUU
This 73-nucleotide transfer RNA is filed under the name Camelus bactrianus (Bactrian camel). It matches the Rfam family "tRNA". Rfam says of the family: Transfer RNA (tRNA) molecules are approximately 80 nucleotides in length. Their secondary structure includes four short double-helical elements and three loops (D, anti-codon, and T loops). Further hydrogen bonds mediate the characteristic L-shaped molecular structure. tRNAs have two regions of fundamental functional importance: the anti-codon, which is responsible for specific mRNA codon recognition, and the 3' end, to which the tRNAs corresponding amino acid is attached (by aminoacyl-tRNA synthetases). tRNAs cope with the degeneracy of the genetic code in two manners: having more than one tRNA (with a specific anti-codon) for a particular amino acid; and 'wobble' base-pairing, i.e. permitting non-standard base-pairing at the 3rd anti-codon position. RNAcentral also lists the same sequence under 2 other names. The record is from Rfam by way of RNAcentral. Lineage: Eukaryota; Metazoa; Chordata; Mammalia; Artiodactyla; Camelidae.